RNAcentral lists this ribosomal RNA (253 nucleotides) under uncultured bacterium. RNAcentral describes it as "partial 16S ribosomal RNA". It matches the Rfam family "Bacterial small subunit ribosomal RNA", at positions 524 to 776 of the family's 1533-position model. The record is from RNAcentral.
GACGAACCGUACGAACGUUAUUCGGAAUCACUGGGCUUAAAGAGUUCGUAGGCGGUUCGACAAGUGAGGUGUGAAAGCCCUCGGCUUAACCGAGGAAUUGCGCUUCAAACUGUCGGGCUCGAGGGAGAUAGAGGUGAGCGGAACUGAUGGUGGAGCGGUGAAAUGCGUUGAUAUCAUCUGGAACACCUGUGGCGAAAGCGGCUUACUGGGUCCUUUCUGACGCUGAGGCACGAAAGCCAGGGGAGCAAACGGG